Long non-coding RNA from Gymnogyps californianus (California condor), 952 nucleotides. RefSeq lists it as uncharacterized. The transcript is spliced from 3 exons. Lineage: Eukaryota; Metazoa; Chordata; Aves; Accipitriformes; Cathartidae. The record is from RefSeq and is a predicted model, not a curated record.
UUGCUGCCUGCUCCUGUUCUGGCUUCUGCCCCCUGGCCUGCAGCUCAGCUCCUGCUCCAUGACAGAUCAGAGAACUCACCCGACUUCACAGCACUACUGGGCAUGUGCCAUCAGGUGCAGGGGAGAGCAGGACCACCUCUUGCAGGAGCAGCUUGCAGUGAGAUCAGAUGAAGCUUCUCAUGAAAUCACAGCCAGCAAAGGAGAUUAGAGGAGACCAGUUCCUAAAAGAGCCAGAAUUACUCCACUGCACAGAAGGUUUGGAACAAGACAGCACUGCUCUGUUUGUUUAUCAACCCCCACACAAAAGACAGAACAAGUAGCCCAGUCCCAGAGUCACCAAGUGGACUUCACUUUUCAGGCAGAAUCCCAACCAGCUCUGACUUGCCUCUCUCCUCUUCUGCCUAACCAAGAGCAGUUUUCUAGUUAUUAUGCCAAAGAAGCAGAGGGACUCAGCAGCCACAUCUCACCACCUGCGGCACACUUUGCUCCUCAUGGGUAGCCAAAUUUCUUCACUCCACAGCUCCAGGGGGUCACUGCAUCCCCAAGCAGCUCCUGAUCUCAAGUUUGUGAAGGAUGGUCCUGAUGCCACAUGAGCCUACCGAGACACUACUUGCUCGGUCUCAGCAGCUCCUUCCCAUCACUUUAACAGUACUGUGUUUUGCCAGGGCCUGGGAGCUGCUGCUACCUGACCUCCUGAGGGACUGAAGUGCAGACCACCUGCAAGGCCACCUCUACCACAUCUCCCUAGCAAAAGGGAAGAGUUCCCCGAUGGGUCUGGGCACAGCUAACUGAACAGCUGUUCGCAAGAUAAGCUUUUCUUUAAGAACAACAACCACUAGGCAAGCAAUGUCCUCUCCACACUCCUCUCCCCCCUGCCCCAAUCAGUGUAUUGGUUAGAAGCACCUCCGGGGCUGUUUGCCUUAUUAACCUCUACCAGACCAUCUCACCGCAG